Molecule: non-coding RNA, 56 nt
Organism: Bos taurus (domestic cattle)
Lineage: Eukaryota; Metazoa; Chordata; Mammalia; Artiodactyla; Bovidae
Source: Rfam
UGGCUCAGAGGGUAAAGCGUCUGCCUGCAAUGCAGGAGACCUGGGUUCGAUCCCUG